GAUGAACGCUAGCGGCGGGCCUAAUACAUGCAAGUCGAGGGGCAGCGCGGUAGCAAUACUGGCGGCGACCGGCGCACGGGUGCGUAACACGUAUGCAACCUACCUUCAACAGGAGGAUAGCCCGGGGAAACUCGGAUUAAUACUCCAUAACACAGGGAUCCCGCAUGGGAAUAUUGUUAAAGCUACGGCGGUUGAAGAUGGGCAUGCGUUCGAUUAGCUAGUUGGUGUAGGUAACGGCUCACCAAGGCUACGAUCGAUAGGGGGUCUGAGAGGAUGAUCCCCCACACUGGUACUGAGAUACGGACCAGACUCCUACGGGAGGCAGCAGUAAGGAAUAUUGGUCAAUGGAGGCAACUCUGAACCAGCCAUGCCGCGUGCAGGAUGACGGCCCUAUGGGUUGUAAACUGCUUUUAUACAAGAGAAAACCCUGGUACGUGUACCAGGUUGAUAGUAUUGUAAGAAUAAGCAUCGGCUAACUUCGUGCCAGCAGCCGC
This 494-nucleotide ribosomal RNA is filed under the name uncultured bacterium. RNAcentral's name for it is "bacterial SSU rRNA". It matches the Rfam family "Bacterial small subunit ribosomal RNA", at positions 28 to 518 of the family's 1533-position model. The record is from RNAcentral.